AGAGUUUGAUCCUGGCUCAGAACGAACGCUGGCGGCAUGCCUAACACAUGCAAGUCGAACGCGUGGUUUCGGCCACGAGUGGCGCACGGGUGAGUAGCGCGUGGGAACCUGCCCUUGGGUUCGGGAUAACCGCGGGAAACUGCGGCUAAUACCGGAUACUCCCUUUGGGGGAAAGAUUUAUCGCCUGAGGAGGGGCCCGC
This 200-nucleotide ribosomal RNA is filed under the name uncultured bacterium. RNAcentral's name for it is "partial 16S ribosomal RNA". It matches the Rfam family "Bacterial small subunit ribosomal RNA", at positions 8 to 234 of the family's 1533-position model. The record is from RNAcentral.